RNAcentral lists this transfer RNA (74 nucleotides) under Bipalium adventitium. RNAcentral describes it as "tRNA-Val". The record is from RNAcentral. Lineage: Eukaryota; Metazoa; Platyhelminthes; Tricladida; Geoplanidae.
UCAAAAAUAGUAUAAGUUAAAUAGUAUAAUUAGUUUACAUCUAAUGGGAAUAAUGGUUAGAUGUUUUUUUUGAU